UAGGGGGGCAAAUCCGCCGAAUUUAAGCAUAUAAUUAAGCGGAAGAAAAGAAAAUAACUAUGAUUCUUUAAGUAACGGCGAGUGAACAAGGAUAAGCUCAAAAAAGAAAAUCCAACAUAGCAGAAUAAGAAGUUAUGUGACGGAAUUGUUUUGUUUAAAAAAUAUUGCCAAUACAAAAAACACGCAAGUGUAGAUAAUAAAAAACGAAGUAAGUAGGAAUGCUUUCCCUUAGAGGGUGAAAGGCCCGUAGUUUUUAUAUUAUUUUGUAAAGUUUUGCAAUAUUAUCUAAUGGAGUCGUGUUCUUUGAGAUUGGAGCACUAAUGCGUGUGAUACAUUUCACAUAAAGCUAAAUAUGUGUAGGAGACCGAUAGCGAACAAGUACCGUGAGGGAAAGAUGAAAUAGGACUCAGGAAUGAGAAUUAAAUAUGACCUGAAAUCGUUAAGAUGGAACGGAUUGAGAAAGAAAAAAGUAUGAUUUGUAGAGAUUAUGUCUUAUGAUAGAUAUGACUUAGCAAAUUAUGUUAUAAAAGAAACAUCAGUGAAAAUUAGGAUAUUUCUGUUGAAUAAUAAAUAUAAUUGAUGUAAUUUGGAUAUAAUUUUUUUCCAUAUUGUGUCAUAUUUAUUUCAUAACUAAUGAUGAAAGAAAUCGUUUUUCAAAUAGAUGUUAAUAUUAUAAAUAUCUUAUUAAAAAAAGUAUAUCUUAUUUACUGAGGAAUAAAAAUGUGUUUAUAAAUAUGUAAAUGCAUUUUGUGUUGUUUCUAUUGAGUACUUUCUUAAACCACUCGUCUUGAAACACGGACCAAGGAGUCUAUCAAACAUGUAAGUGUAAUUGACAUUUUAAACAAUAUAAAUAAUAUACGCCUAAUUAAGGUAAGAGAAAAACAAUUAAGUUCGUGUAGAUUUCGAAGGUAUCGAAUUGGAUGACUUAGAAUGUAUACCGUACCGAUGAGCAAUGUAUGCUUAUGUUGAGUAUUAGCAUGUUUGAUAGGACCCGAGAGGCUUUGAACUAAGCGUGACGAGAUCGAAGUCAGACGAAAGUCUGAUGGAAGAUUGAAUUGAUACUGACGUGCAAAUCGUUCUUUUCAGUCACGUUUAGGGGCGAAAGACUAAUCGAAAAGCCUAUUAGCUGGUUAUUUUCGAAAGAUCUCUCAGGAUCGCUGGAGUUGAGUAAUAUAAUUGUACCAGGUAGAGAUAAUGAUUAGAGGAAUCAGGGAAAUAAUUUUCUUGACCUAUUCUCAAACUUUCAAUAGGUAACAAGAGUAAAAUAGCUUUAUUGUAUUUUGCUCAAAUGUAAUGAUAAAUAAAAUAACUCCAAGUGGGCCAUUUUUGGUAAGCAGAACUGGCGAUGAGGGAUGAUCCUAACGCUUGGAUAAGGUGCCUAAAUAUUUGCUAAUUAGAUACCAUAAUAGGUGUUGGUUUAUAAUGACAGUAGGACGGUAAUCUGGGAAGUAGAAAACCGCUAAGGAAUGUGUAGCAACUCACCUACCGAAUUAACUAGCCCUGAAAAUGGAUGGCGCUAAAGCGAAUUACCGAUACCGAGCCAUAAAAAGGAUAUAAUUAUAGAUGAGCAUGUUGUCUAUCUAAAAUCUUUUUAUGAGUAGAAAAUCGUGGAGUUUGUGUAAAAGCGAGAUACGCGAGUUCUCGUGGAACAUUUCUCUAGUGCAGAUCUUGGUGGAAGUAGCAAUUAUUCAAAUGAGAACUUUGAAGACUGAAGUGGAGAAGGGUUUCUUGCCAACUGUGAUUGUUCAAGAGUUAGCCGCUCCUAAGGGAAAACUGAAAAGUUAUAAUAUGGGGCAUGUAUAGAACUGCAUCAUAUUGAUACAUAAUGUACAUCCUCUUUCUCAAAAGGGAAACAGGUUAAUAUUCCUGUGCCGUUAAUAUAACUGAGUAAUAAUAAUGAUGGUAACAUAUAUACAAAUGAACUUCUUAACGUUGGCCUUACACACGGGGUGCGUUUUCUUUGCACUUAGCCUUUAUAGCAAGCCUUGGAAUCAAUUUACUUGGAGAAGGGGCUCGCCGAAUCAAUGCAGAAGGGUUAUCGAUUGUUACUUUUCGUUACAGUCUUUAAUUUCGCUGUAUUGUAGUCAUAGUAAUUUGUUUAUAUGAAUUAUCCGCAGAUGUAAGGACUGCCCAUGAAAAAAGGAGGGAACAGCAAAUGGAAUAAGGGUUAUAAUUAGAAGCAUCUGAUUAUUAUUCUGUUUUAUUUGUAUACUCUGUAUAUUUGUAAGAGCGUACCAACAACCGCAUCAGGUCUCCUAGGUAAGUAACCUCUGGUUAAAUAGAAAAAAGUAAGUAAGGGAAGUCGGCAAAAUAGAUCCGUAACUUCGGGAAAAGGAUUGGCUCUGAGACAUUGGAGAAAAGAAGAAUUAAAGAGAUUGUGGCUAUACAACAUGGAUGUAUUGAUAUUAUUUUAAAGGCUUUUUUGGGUUUUUGAAAUGUAUCAUUACUGAAAAGUUUUGGCCUUCACUUUAUAUUCUAUAACCUCUUUUCACCAUCAUACGCAUAAUAGUAAUUGCGCUAUAUGUAAAUAUGAUAAUUGUAAUGUUAACUCAGAACUGAAACGGACAAGGGGAAUCCGACUGUUUAAUUAAAACUUAGCUUUGUGAUAAGCC
RNAcentral lists this ribosomal RNA (2612 nucleotides) under Plasmodium ovale (malaria parasite P. ovale). Its description in RNAcentral is "eukaryotic LSU rRNA". It matches the Rfam family "Eukaryotic large subunit ribosomal RNA", at positions 12 to 2170 of the family's 3401-position model. Lineage: Eukaryota; Apicomplexa; Aconoidasida; Haemosporida; Plasmodiidae. The record is from RNAcentral.